GAUGAAGAACGCAGCGAAAUGCGAUAAGUAGUGUGAAUUGCAGAAUUCAGUGAAUCAUCGAAUCUUUGAACGCACAUUGCGCCCCAUGGUAUUCCGUGGGGCAUGCCUGUUCGAGCGUCAUUAUAACCCCUCAAGCUCAGCUUGGUGUUGGGGCCUGCUGCACUGGCAGCCCUUAAAAUCAGUGGCGGCGCCAUCUGGCUCUAAGCGUAGUAAUUCUUCUCGCUAUGGAGUCCUGGUGGAUGCUUGCCAUCAACCCCCAAUUUUUCUAUGGUUGACCUCGGAUCAGGUAGGGAUACCCGCUGAACUUAAGCAUAUCAAUAAGCGGAGGA
Molecule: unclassified non-coding RNA, 329 nt
Filed under: soil metagenome
Description: partial contains 5.8S ribosomal RNA, internal transcribed spacer 2, and large subunit ribosomal RNA
Rfam family: 5.8S ribosomal RNA (bases 1-120)
Source: RNAcentral